Molecule: ribosomal RNA, 477 nt
Filed under: uncultured bacterium
Lineage: Bacteria
Description: partial 16S ribosomal RNA
Rfam family: Bacterial small subunit ribosomal RNA
Source: RNAcentral
ACUCAAAGGAAUUGACGGGGGCCCGCACAAGCAGCGGAGCGUGUGGUUUAAUUCGAUGCGACGCGAAGAACCUUACCUGGGUUUGACAUGGGCCUGAAAGAACUGGAAACAGUUCCCCCUUCGGGCAGGUUCACAGAUGUUGCAUGGCUGUCGUCAGCUCGUGUCGUGAGAUGUUGGGUUAAGUCCCGCAACGAGCGCAACCCUCGUGGCUAGUUGCCUUAUCUAGCCAGACUGCCUACUAAAUAGGAGGAAGGUGGGGAUGACGUCAAGUCCGCAUGGCUCUUACAUCCAGGGCUACACACACGCUACAAUGGCCGGUACAAAGCGCGGCAAGCAGGCGACUGCAAGCGAAUCGCAAAAACCGGUCUCAGUUCGGAUUGCAGGCUGCAACCCGCCUGCAUGAAGUCGGAGUUGCUAGUAACCGCGCGACAGCACAGUGCGGUGAAUAUGUUCCCGGGCCUUGCACACACCGCCCGU